UACGUAUAAAAUUUUUCGAGUGUCAUAAGAAGAUAUGAUUUACAAAGUGCACAUGAACAUGAAACCGUAAUAGCCCCCCCAGAUAUUUUGGCAAUAUAUGACUUACUGCACAUUGUUUAUCCUUACUGUCAAGAAAGAACCAGGAGUAUCGAAAUACUAGAGAUUACACCGAACGCGCCUUCUGGUACUUCAGGACCAGUAGCGCCCAUGGUGGAAGGGAUAGCAUGGUGUGUGCAGUUCGGCUAAACCACGCCCACUUUUGCUCUGCAAGGGCAGAGAGGAACCUGAGAGGGGACAGGCUUCGAGUUUAGAUGGAACCUUAUUUUGAAGCGCCUCUAUGUUUCGUGAAAAAUGGACAUUGAACUACGUAGCCAAUGUCCUAUUUCCACGUCGGUAAUGUCCACGUUUAGGUGGUUCUCAGCGGUGCUAUGUCCAUUUUUACGGUUCUCUUCUGUGCUAUGUGCAGGAGUGAGAGAUGCAUCAGUUGGAUAAAGACGGAUAAUGGAUCUCUGUCUGUCUUCUGUUUAGACCAUCGGUUAGAGAGAGAAAGUAUCGCGGUAGCAAACACGGAGCGAGCGGCGAUGUUAUCUCUACGGAUACCCUCCUCUCCACUCCCCUUUCGCCUAUCUCGUUUUCCGCGCUACGUUUUGGCCGUAAAAUUCAGAAAGUCCUCUUCGGACGAUUUCUGGGCAGGGACGUAGAAAGGCCAGAAAGCGCCUACUCUUUAAAAAUGUUUUAUAUUUUGUUAUAUUUGUUGUAAUGACGUACGCGCAUAUGUAUGAUUUAAAAAUGACAAUAUGCGCGUGUUUAAUAUUGUACAAAAAAAUAAUAAUGUAAUAAAAGAAUUUAUGGAUACCUGAGAA
This is a long non-coding RNA of Solenopsis invicta (red fire ant), 863 nucleotides long. RefSeq lists it as uncharacterized. The transcript has 2 exons. The record is from RefSeq and is a predicted model, not a curated record. Lineage: Eukaryota; Metazoa; Arthropoda; Insecta; Hymenoptera; Formicidae.